Podarcis lilfordi (Lilford's wall lizard) is the source of this 83-nucleotide non-coding RNA. NCBI's taxonomy places the organism in Eukaryota, Metazoa, Chordata, Lepidosauria, Squamata, Lacertidae. The record is from the annotation of a GenBank genome assembly.
GCUGGGAGGAGGCCAUAACUUAGUGGCAGAGCAUUUGCUUUUCAUGCAAAAGAUCUCAGGAUAGAUCCCGGGCAUUUCUAGCA